GCCUGUGUGGCUCAGUUGGUUAAGCAUCUGACUUCAGUUCAGGUCAUGCUCUUACAGUUCAUGGGUUCAAGCCCCACAUCGGGCU
This 85-nucleotide transfer RNA is filed under the name Felis catus (domestic cat). It matches the Rfam family "tRNA". From Rfam's summary of the family: Transfer RNA (tRNA) molecules are approximately 80 nucleotides in length. Their secondary structure includes four short double-helical elements and three loops (D, anti-codon, and T loops). Lineage: Eukaryota; Metazoa; Chordata; Mammalia; Carnivora; Felidae. The record is from Rfam by way of RNAcentral.